GACGAACGCUGGCGGCGUGCUAAACACAUGCAAGUCGAACGGUAAGGCCCUUCGGGGUACACGAGUGGCGAACGGGUGAGUAACACGUGGGUGAUCUACCCUGCACUUCGGGAUAAGCCUGGGAAACUAGGUCUAAUACCGGAUAGGACCACUGCCUGCAUGGGUGGUGGUGGAAAGCUUUUGCGGUGUGGGAUGGGCCCGCGGCCUAUCAGCUUGUUGGUGGGGUGAUGGCCUACCAAGGCGACGACGGGUAGCCGGCCUGAGAGGGUGACCGGCCACACUGGGACUGAGAUACGGCCCAGACUCCUACGGGAGGCAGCAGUGGGGAAUAUUGCACAAUGGGCGCAAGCCUGAUGCAGCGACGCCGCGUGAGGGAUGACGGCCUUCGGGUUGUAAACCUCUUUCAGCACCGACGAAGCGCAAGUGACGGUAGGUGCAGAAGAAGGACCGGCCAACUACGUGCCAGCCGCCGCAGUAA
This 478-nucleotide ribosomal RNA is filed under the name uncultured bacterium. RNAcentral describes it as "partial 16S ribosomal RNA". It matches the Rfam family "Bacterial small subunit ribosomal RNA", at positions 28 to 523 of the family's 1533-position model. The record is from RNAcentral.